RNAcentral lists this ribosomal RNA (774 nucleotides) under uncultured Neocallimastigales. RNAcentral describes it as "partial large subunit ribosomal RNA". It matches the Rfam family "Eukaryotic large subunit ribosomal RNA", at positions 24 to 635 of the family's 3401-position model. The record is from RNAcentral. Lineage: Eukaryota; Fungi; Neocallimastigomycota; Neocallimastigomycetes; Neocallimastigales.
UAUGUGAUCGUCUCUCGCAUAUCAAUAAGCGGAGGAAAAGAAACUAGCAAGUAUUCCCUAGUAACGGCGAGUGAAGCGGGAAGAGCUCAAAUUUGAAAUCUUAAAGGGUUUCCCUUUACGAAUUGUAGUUUAAAGAAGUGUUUUCUGUUGAGGUUUUGGUAAAAGUUCUUUGGAAUAGGACAUCAUAGAGGGUGAGAAUCCCGUAUUUGACCUUUACUUUCAACUUUGUGAUACACUUUCAAAGAGUCGGAUUGUUUGGGAAUGCAGUCCAAAAUGGGUGGUAAAUUUCAUCUAAAGCCAAAUAUUGGCGAGAGACCGAUAGCGAACAAGUACCGUGAGGGAAAGAUGAAAAGAACUUUGAAAAGAGAGUUAAACAGUACGUGAAAUUGAUCAAAAGGGAAGCGUUUGACACCAGUGUUGUUUUUCUGAAAAUCAAUUAAAGAACUGUUUAUGCUAAGUUGUUUAGACUUUAUCAGCUAUCUGUUUAGUUUUAGGCUUUUCUUUAAUGCACUUUUCAGUUAACAAGUCAACAUCAAUUUCUUUUGCUGUAAAAAAGCUUGAGGAAGGUGGCUUGAGAUUCGUCUUAAGUGUUUAUAGCCUCUUGCCUAUGCAGUCGGAGAGAUUGAGGUCUGCAGCGUAGAUCCUUCGGGGCUAAAUGCAUUUGUGCUAAGUUAUAGCAUUUUAUAGACAACUUGUUGACUAUGAUUUGUCUUGUAGCUUACUCGCUUAUGUUAUUUUACCUACGCUUAGGAUGUUGAUCUACAGAGCGAGAGU